This 539-nucleotide long non-coding RNA is filed under the name Homo sapiens (human). RNAcentral's name for it is "HSALNT0127247". The record is from RNAcentral. Lineage: Eukaryota; Metazoa; Chordata; Mammalia; Primates; Hominidae.
GCGGUGAUGGGUAGAGGUCUCAGCUUGGGAGGUCCCACCCAGUGAGGAGAAAUGUCUCAGACAGGCUCCAUUCUGUUGCUGGUGGCUGGCUGGCUGGAAAUUCAAGCCAAUGGGUAUUAUCUUGUGAGGUGCUGUGGAAGUGGGGCCUGCAGACCAAGGCUGCUCUGCCCUCUGGAUUCAGUCCCCUUGCUAGUGAUUUGAUGCAGAUGAAUGCUGAGACACUCUGCUGGAAGUAGAUUAAAAACUUAGACAUCUCUGCACACCUCUACCUUUCCACCAUGGAGCCUCUGAGACACUUCAAGAAAACCCCUUUUUUUCUUCCCCAUUACCUUUCCCAUUGCUUUAUGUCCUCAGGUUAUAUUAGAAUUGUUAUUUUUUUUCCCUUUAAGCGUAAACACCAAAUAAACAUCAGUAAGACUACAGUGAAUUUUGUUGUUGUUGUUAAUUAUGUCAAAUAUGUUUAGUGAAUAUAAGUGAUCCCUGAAUUUGGAGGAAAGAUAUACAUUAAUCAGAAACUAUUAUAAAUUAGUGAAUUAGCA